AGAUGAGUCUUCCCUGUCGCUUUAAGCGACCUAAAGGAACGUUUAAGACUAAGACGUUGAUAGGCUGGGUGUGUAAGCGUAGCGAUACGUUGAGCUAACCAGUACUAAUGAACCGUGAGGCUUAACCUGACAACACCGAAAGUGUUUUG
RNAcentral lists this ribosomal RNA (149 nucleotides) under Proteus mirabilis. RNAcentral's name for it is "partial 23S ribosomal RNA". The stretch from base 1 to 129 matches the Rfam family "Bacterial large subunit ribosomal RNA", at positions 2802 to 2925 of the family's 2925-position model. The record is from RNAcentral. Lineage: Bacteria; Pseudomonadati; Pseudomonadota; Gammaproteobacteria; Enterobacterales; Morganellaceae.